AACGCACCUUGCACUCUUUGGUAUUCCGAAGAGUAUGUCUGUUUGAGUGUCAUGAAACUCUCAACCCCCUUGUUUUGUAAUGAAACGAGCGUGGGCUUGGUUUAUGGCGGUUGCCGGCGUAAUAGUCGACUCUGCUGAAAUACACGAGCUACCCAUUUCUGAGAAAUAGACGGUUUGACUCGGCGUAAUAAUAUAUUCCGCUGAGGACGUCACAUUCUCUAACCAGUGGUGCUUCUAAUGCGACAUCUAAACUCUUAAGCUUUAGACCUCAAAUCAGUCAGGACUACCCGCUGAACUUAA
Molecule: unclassified non-coding RNA, 300 nt
Filed under: uncultured Basidiomycota
Lineage: Eukaryota; Fungi; Basidiomycota
Description: sequence contains 5.8S rRNA gene, ITS2, 28S rRNA gene
Rfam family: 5.8S ribosomal RNA (bases 1-52)
Source: RNAcentral